GAUUAAAGAUUUAUCGGUGAUGGAUGGGGAUGCGUCUGAUUAGCUUGUUGGCGGGGUAACGGCCCACCAAGGCUACGAUCAGUAGGGGUUCUGAGAGGAAGGUCCCCCACAUUGGAACUGAGACACGGUCCAAACUCCUACGGGAGGCAGCAGUGAGGAAUAUUGGUCAAUGGACGAGAGUCUGAACCAGCCAAGUAGCGUGCAGGAUGACGGCCCUAUGGGUUGUAAACUGCUUUUAUAAGGGAAUAAAGUGAGUCUCGUGAGACUUUUUGCAUGUACCUUAUGAAUAAGGACCGGCUAAUUCCGUGCCAGCAGCCGCGGUAAUACGGAAGGUCCGGGCGUUAUCCGGAUUUAUUGGGUUUAAAGGGAGCGUAGGCCGGAGAUUAAGCGUGUUGUGAAAUGUAGAUGCUCAACAUCUGCACUGCAGCGCGAACUGGUUUCCUUGAGUACGCACAAAGUGGGCGGAAUUCGUGGUGUAGCGGUGAAAUGCUUAGAUAUCACGAAGAACUCCGAUUGCGAAGGCAGCUCACUGGAGCGCAACUGACGCUGAAGCUCGAAAGUGCGGGUAUCGAACAGGAUUAGAUACCCUGGUAGUCCGCACGGUAAACGAUGGAUGCCCGCUGUUGGUCUGAAUAGGUCAGCGGCCAAGCGAAAGCAUUAAGCAUCCCACCUGGGGAGUAC
Molecule: ribosomal RNA, 681 nt
Filed under: uncultured bacterium
Lineage: Bacteria
Description: bacterial SSU rRNA
Rfam family: Bacterial small subunit ribosomal RNA
Source: RNAcentral